This 4112-nucleotide long non-coding RNA is filed under the name Triticum aestivum (bread wheat). RNAcentral's name for it is "long non-coding RNA (TAES_LNC009349)". Lineage: Eukaryota; Viridiplantae; Streptophyta; Magnoliopsida; Poales; Poaceae. The record is from RNAcentral.
UGAUACGGUUGCAUAUGGCGAUCGAUCUCAUGCAUGCCAUGGUAAUGGUACUACUACUAUACAGCGUGUUAAUUUGCUUUCAAAGUAAACUAGUUUUGUGUGAUGGUUAAUUAGUUUCAAUUCUCCAUAUAUACCACUAUAUGGCUGACUCUCCUUGGUAAUGCCAAUAUGCCAUGUAUAACUAGGGAUAUAUAUUACUACUCUUUUACCACUAGGGUUUGCUUGAGCUUUAAUCAAAUGUUGCUUCAAAGCCAGGGCAAACCCAGCCCCUAAAAUACCAGUUAAUGUCAGAAUAUAUGCACAAUGCAAAGUUCCAGACUUGAUGCCAUAUGCUACAUAUACAUUGGAUAACUCUGGAAGCAUUUCUGUUUACAAGAUCCCACAAGUCCAUUUUUGAUCAUAUAUGCUGCAUGCAUGCAUGCAUGUAAGACAAGUCUUCGGAUCAAACAAAGAUGUUUGCAUGCAUACAUGUAGCAAUGCAUGGCAAGACCUAAGAUCAAAACAAAGAUGUUUGUUCCAACGCAUUGCAUAGCAAUGUAGCAGCAUGCUUCCUGUCUGUCUGGUCUUGUGAAUGAAUGAAUGUUUGGGGCUUGGACAUAUUGAAUGAUCUAGGCAUGCAUAUGCCAGAUUGAUUGUUUGAAUAUGGAGGAGAGGAAAGGGGAACCAAUCAAUGAUUGCUUGUGUUGGUGCAUGCUGCAGUGCACAGUAGUAUGGCUAGCCAGUGUGGCAUGCAGCAGAGUGAGCAGCUAGCUCUCAUGACUACACAUGAGUGCAUGCAUGGACUAGUUUGCUAGUACUGGUACUACAUGCAUGCUGAUGCCUGCUGCUGCAUGCCCUGUCUGGUCUGGGAAAGGGGGGAAGGUGGAUGAGCUUUUGUUUCUUGCUGGUUUCCUUUUGUAAUCUUGCUCCUCUAUGGCUUUUUUAGAGGGAGGAGGGAGGGGCAGAGAUCUCCAUGUCAGGCCACCCCACUGUGUCUGUGUGCAUGCUCUUUUGUGGGGACAAAAGGAAGACAUGGGUGUGUGUAAAAAUGUAAACUUGUAAUCAAGUCAUUGCUGUGAUGUGCUUUCUGCCCACACUAGCUACUUGCUGGGGCUGGCAAUGGCAUGGCUACUUUGCUGGCUAGCUUGGCAGUUGGCAUGCAGAAGUAGGUCACAUGAAUACACAUACCUAAACGCUUGAAUCUAGGGCGUGGAAGUAAAUGUGAUUGGUUUUGUUAUUGUGACACUGGGUAUUUGGUAAGUAAUCCAUGGGCAUGCCAAGUUCAAAUGGAAAAAAAAUCAGGCAUUUCAUGUACGCAAGCAAUAAUCAACUAAACCAAUAAGUGUCUUCUUUCUGAAAACAUGAAUACAAAUUGGCAUCCAUGUCCAUAUUGCAAUAUACUUGAAAAUAGUGAGAAAUCGAGUUACAGCAUACAUAAGAACUUUGGUUCAUAGGAUUCAAAAUAGAUAGGGCACAUUGUUAUGCAGAGACCGGAUAAGACUUCAUUUCAAGUGAGGUCUGGGUUUCUGCCUAGUGGUAGGUUCAUAGUGGUGCAUCCAUGUUGAUUACCUAGGGUUCCAGUCCUAUCUCAUCCGGGUGGGUUCUAUCUUACCCACUGGACAUGAUUUUUGAUAUCUUGGUGCGAUGUUUUGAGUGAACAAGAUAUCCCUUUAAAAGAGAUAAGCAUAUUCCAUGUAUCAAUACAUAAUCAACACCAAAUAAUGAGUUUGAUUUCGACAGGGAGAGGAAAAUAGGAUCCUAUAGAGAUUUUUCCAAGAAGUUAGACUCGGUCGAAAUUUUCCUUUAAAACUGAGAGCAAAGUUCGCACAUAGAAAUUUUUCCAAAGAUUCAUUACUCAAUAAAAAAUCCAAGGAUUUAAACUCUUAAAAGAACAAAUUCAUUUGAAUUAUUGAAAGCUAAGAGAGAGGCCAAAAGACACAUGGAGUGCAAUACAAUUACUGUGGGCACAGAUUUAUGUAAUUAUUUCAUCAUAGUUUCCAUCAUUGUUUUAUCAAUACUACUAAUAAUACAUCAUUAAGGAGGACAGACUUUCAGAAGAUCACAUGCAUAUGUGUACGUAAGGCUGUGUCUCUGCGGCACAGUACUAGUAUGUCGUUGCUAGUUCCAAUCUUUUUAUCAGACGAGAGCAGCUGCAGGAAUCACAUGUUUUCUACAUCGAGAUAAGAAAAGAAUGCCGUGUGUCUGUACGACUGUAUAUAUACAUAUGUAUGUCAGGGCAGGGCAGGGCAGGGCUGGGCUAGAUGGUAGCUAGCAGGGCAUGGCGAAAGUUCUGAUCCGAGCUCCAGAGAAUGCAAUAUUAAUUGUUGAGAGUUAUGAUGCGUACGGGUAUGCAUUGUUUUCAUGAUUUAAGCAUGUAUUUUAUGAAAAAAAUAACCAUUGAAUCAUCAUGGAAAAAUAAGUGAUUCACCAUAAAGCAUUGGAAACUAUUUUGAAUGUGAAUCCAAUGAUAUAUUUUUCAUGGUAUACAACUAAUAUUUUAUCAAUCAAAGUAAUGGAGAAACGUCUUUCCAUAAACGCGGCCCUAUAAACCCGAACAGAGAAGAUAUAUGACGCCCUCUGUGACCACCUAGGUUAGAACUUCAUGUUUGAAUUUCAUUAAGUUACAAAUUAUAUAUGGAAAAAAUCUGUUUAAAAAUGAUAUAUUAUUUGGUUCAAAAUACAGUAUCAUGUGCAAAUUUUUAAUGAUUAUGAGUCUUUAAACGUAUGUGACGCUCUACAAAAAUGAAGGGCUACAGAUCAUAGUCAUUACCAGCAAUCUAUCUAUAAAUACACUAUAUAUGCUCCUUUAUUUUGGAGCUCUCUCAUUUAAUUUAGGUGUUCAAUAUCGGAUUUGGUUCAUGAUUUGACUGGGUCAACAAUUUUGAUUGAAAUUAUUUUGAAUUUGGUUCAUAGUUUUUAUUCAAUUGAGGUGUUCAGUUCUGGAUCAGGUUCCCAGUUUUGACUGGAUCAAAAAUUUUGUAUCUCAAUAUAUAGACAUGUAAAUGUCUUGCGUGUUCUCAAAAAAAUCAAGGGCUAGAGUGAAGAACAAUAACAUUUUUUUGUGAAUACAAGAACAAGAACAAUUAUCCAUUAAAAUGCAAGAAAAAACUUUACAUUUCUCCUUUGGCCUGACUUUAUAGCGCUAACACUCUAUUUAGGGAUUAUUUGGAUUGUAAGAUUUUCAUAGGAAUAUUGGAGGAUUUGAAUCUCAAUGAAUUUUCCUAUGAAAGCAAUUUAGAUCAUAGGGUUGAGACUAUAAGAUUUCUAUGGAAUCCAUUCCUACGCCCCCUAUUCCAUAGGAAUAUCAACAUGAGCUGAAACCUUAUUUUAUUUUUCCUUUGAGAUGCUCUCUCUCUCUCUCUCUCUCUCUCUCUCUCUCUCUCUCUCUCAAUGCUUUAAAACUCCUAUGGUUAUUUCCUAUGCACCAUCAAAAGGUACCUCUAACAAUACCCGCAAAAAAAAAGGUACCUCUCACAAAAUUCCUGUGUUUUGAAACCCUUUAUAACUUCAUAGUACAUGGUCUUUGAAUCCUACGUUUUUCCUGUUCCUAGGUUCUUGAAUCUCCUGCAAUCCAAGAAAGCCCUUACAGUUGAUCGAGCUGCGAUGGACAAUGUUGGAGGAGCGAUCAAAGAGGGAGGGAGAAGCGAUAGAGUUGGCAGGGAACAAAGGGUUUGUUUCCUAAAAAAAAAAGCUUAUCUUGGAGUGUUCAAAUGCACCACGGUGUUUCACCUCCGAAACAUUAACAUGUCUUUACUUACGGUUUUGCUAAUUCUCAGCUGGGAUUUUCUUAGUCCUCAAUUGGUAUCGAGUAUUGUUGAUAUGAUGUUAGAACGGUGCAAGAUUUUAUUAAAAAAGAACUGAACUUUGAGAACAAACCCUACUAUUUUUCCAGUACACAUGAUCAAGUUAUUACUACCGAGAUCAGAUUUUAAUGAACAAAUUUUGUAAAUCAACUAAGGGUUAGCCAAGUUGACAGCUAUCGAGAUCAGAUUUCAUUUUUUUUACAGAUGAGUAAAAACAAAUUGGUGGAUAUACAUGAGAAAAUUUUGUAAGAGUAAAAAAAUGUAUGAAUAAAUUUAUAAGACUGACUGAAAAAUAAUUAUAUUCCAGUCCAUGAAGACAUAAAAAAAAAA